AUUGGAACAUCAGGUGGUUCAAACAAAACUUGAAUUGGCACUGGAGAUUUUGGCAAUGAUGAGAUGGUGAAGACCGCAGCACUGUUUAAGAAGAAGUCUCAGCAUAGGACCUCAGUAGCUUUGGGGAAGGAACCUGUGGACACCAACAAAUGCAGAGUGCUUUGAGCAGGAAUCAUCCACUACUGAGGACCCAAUGCCCCACCAAGCGAACCUUGCCCUCCCACAGAAGAACACUUCGCGAAGCUACCAACUCACUCACCUUUGCUCUGACGCAGUACUAUUAUGAUGUGCAGUAAGAAGGUGCUAUAAAUUAAAACUAAACAAGAUAAAGGGGAUGGAAAGUUACUGGGGUUUUGUGUUUGUGCUAUUUUAUAUAGUUGUAUAGAAUGUCAAGGAAGCUUUUUCUGAUAAGGUGAGAAUUGAGUGGAAAUCUGUAGAAGUAGGGGAGCAAACCAUAUGGAUGUCUGGGAGAGCCUUUUGGGCCAAGGGAACAGCAAAAGGGAGGCCAGUGGGCGGAGCAGAAUGAAUAGGUGGGAGAAUGGUGGGAAAGAAGUCAGAGGGGAAGCUGAAGCUUGUAUGUCGGGUCUUCCAGGAUUGGGAUGGAAGGGUCAGGGAUAAGGAGUAAGUAGAAUCUGAGGGUACCAGACUGUGACAGGAUCAUAGAAGGCUUUUAGUAAUGGGAGAAAUGCUCAGGGAAACCCAGUGAGAGGUAUUUUGCAUUGUGAUAUCCAUGACAACACAAGUGCUGAAGCGGGGGGACAGUUAGACAUAAUUAGAUAAUACAGAGAGCUUACCAAGCCUCACCUUACCAAGGUAAGGGUUCAUGGUAUAACUAUGGAACCCCUCUGUGUAUGUGAAGGGGUGGGCUAGGGUGGAGCCAAGAAACUGAAAGAAUAAUGGAGAAAAUACCAAGGAAGGUGAAUAGAAAACAGAAGGCUGAAUAGGCUUAAGUGAGAAGAGCUUGGAAAUCGAAGAAAGGGAGAAGGAUCAGGAUAGGGGAAGGGAGUGAGAAACUGUUUGUCAAAUGGCCACAAUUUGCCCAGAUCUUUACAUCUGUAUUUUAAUGUGGUUUUAAAGCAAUACUAAGAGGUGGGUAUUAAUUGUCCCCAUUUUAGAGAUAAGAAAUUUGCAAACCCAGAAAAAUUAAGUAACUUGACAGAGGUGAUAAACUACCACUAGGAAUAGUAGGAGAGGGCAACUUCAUUAUUUUAUGUUCAGUUCUUACCUAUUUUCUCAUGUUGCUGUAUCAGUUCAUUCCUGAUAUUAUAUUUGCAGAAACAAAAUUAUGUUACAGGUAGGAAGACAACAACAGAAAGAUGGCAAAGCGGCAGGCUGAGUAGAAUUUUGUCCACUGGGUUCUCACUGUUGGAUUACCCACCUGGCCUUACAAAAAAUGCCACAAGAUGGCAGCAUCUUAUUCAUUAAGGGAGCGGGGGAGGCAAUCAUGCUCCAAGGUUUUAGUACAGAAAAAUUGAAGAAAAAGUAAUGUACAUUAUAAUCCAUAUUUAGAAACUGACCCGUAUUAACCAGAAAUAUUUGUUGAGAAAUAGAGUAAAGGCCUCUAAGUUCACAGAAAUACAUCCAUCUGCAGGCAUUUUGAUCUUGACAUUUAUAAGCAUUCCCAGUGCUGUAUGGGAGUCAUGUAACAUGGUAGAAUGUAGUGGUUAAGUUUCCACUUGGACAUCAGAGAGAUCUGUGUUAAAAUUCUAGCUCUGACACUUAACUAUAUGGUAUUGGGCAAAUGAAAAUCUAUCUAAAUUCAUUUCUUCAUCUGUAAAAUUUCUACCCCUUAGGUUUAUUUUGAAUAUUACAUAGCACAUAAUUAGCUCUUGGUGAAGUGCCUGACACCACUCAAUAAAAAGUAGUCAUUAUGUAAUAA
Long non-coding RNA from Pteropus alecto (black flying fox), 1879 nucleotides. RefSeq lists it as uncharacterized. The record is from RefSeq and is a predicted model, not a curated record. The transcript has 2 exons. Lineage: Eukaryota; Metazoa; Chordata; Mammalia; Chiroptera; Pteropodidae.